RNAcentral lists this long non-coding RNA (486 nucleotides) under Theobroma cacao (cacao). RNAcentral describes it as "long non-coding RNA (TCAC_LNC002732)". The record is from RNAcentral. Lineage: Eukaryota; Viridiplantae; Streptophyta; Magnoliopsida; Malvales; Malvaceae.
AAGUGCAUUGAAGAGUACAAACUUGAGGCUGAGUUUCCACCUGAAAACCUCAAGAAACGCCUUGAACAGCUAGAGAAGACCAAGACUGAGAAGAGGAAGGCAGCUGCAGUCCCUGCUAAUAAGCGAACGCGGGCUAGUAAUGGCGGUCCUAUGCCUCCAGCUAAAGCUGGCCGUUUGAUGAAUGCAUAUGUCUCAUCCUUUCCUGCACCUCCUACAUUUGUUAGGUCUCCUUCACACACUCAAUACCCUGCAGCAGUCCCAGCAUACCCAUCCCCACCUGCCAUGUAUGGAAGCAGGAGCCCACCGACCAAUCCCUAUGCUUAUUCACCAGAAGCAGCGCCUCCUCCCCUUUCUGGUUCUUACCCUGGUGCUCCCAUGAACUAUCCUGCAUAUGGGGGUUAUGGCAAUGGUUUGGCACCAGCUUAUCAGCAGGCUUACUACCGAUAGACAAUGACUACUCUGGAGAUGGUAACCACUGAUAUGAUG